This is a long non-coding RNA of Saccostrea cuccullata (small rock oyster), 736 nucleotides long. RefSeq lists it as uncharacterized. Lineage: Eukaryota; Metazoa; Mollusca; Bivalvia; Ostreida; Ostreidae. The record is from RefSeq and is a predicted model, not a curated record. The transcript has 3 exons.
AUUCCUUAGUUCCAGAUUAUUUUGAGAAAUAAACAUGUUUAAAACAUAAAAUGUCACAUACAUACCAUUAUGUAAACAAGUUUUUCAUUGCAAGUCUUUAUUUGAAGUAAUCCAACGUCCUUUCAAUUCUGUUCAAGCUUUUUGUAAACCAAACAACGCGGUGUUGAAUUACAAAUCUCUAUGAGAUAGAUGCUUGAAAAGUACGCUGAAAGCAUUCAGUCUCUAAAACGUCCCGGUGAUACAGAUUUUCAAGACCUCGAUUUCGAUAACCAAUCAACCGUAUUGCGCGCAUUUCUUGAAAUCACGGAAUCAGGUAAAGAUCUAAAAUAUGUCCAAAUUUUUCAUUAUUGACUGGGAGGACGGCACGACAGAUUUUUACAAAGAAGAUGCGGUAGUUGUAAAUGGAGACAAAGUUCUAAAACAGUUUGGAAAGAAAAUGUUUGAGGGGAGGAUUGCUUCUUUCCACAUAUUGCAGCAGAUAUUUGUCAGUUUUACUGCAUGAGAGUUCACACAUAUUUAUCUAAGACUGGCAUCAUGCUGUUUAAUCUGCAUGGCAAUUUGCAACAGGAUUAUCAGAAUAAACUCUACUGAAUCUACUCUUAGAUAGCAAAGCUUCUGCAAAGCAAGAAUUAGCAGAAAGAACUGAAGCACCCCGUGAUGUGUCUUCAGUGGUUGAGGAUUCAGGAAAGAGGGAACGAAAACUUACAUCAAAAAUGGAAGCAACCUUACAGAUCUC